RNAcentral lists this ribosomal RNA (247 nucleotides) under uncultured bacterium. Its description in RNAcentral is "partial 16S ribosomal RNA". It matches the Rfam family "Bacterial small subunit ribosomal RNA", at positions 526 to 772 of the family's 1533-position model. The record is from RNAcentral.
CGUAGGGGGCAAGCGUUAUCCGGAUUUACUGGGUGUAAAGGGAGCGUAGACGGCGAUGCAAGCCAGAUGUGAAAGCCCGCGGCUCAACUGCGGUAGUGCAUUUGGAACUGUAUGGCUGGAGUGCAGGAGAGGCAGGCGGAAUUCCUAGUGUAGCGGUGAAAUGCGUAGAUAUUAGGAGGAACACCAGUGGCGAAGGCGGCCUGCUGGACUGUAACUGACGUUGAGGCUCGAAAGCGUGGGGAGCAAA